AGUAAUGUCUGGGAAACUGCCUGAUGGAGGGGGAUAACUACUGGAAACGGUAGCUAAUACCGCAUAACGUCGCAAGACCAAAGUGGGGGACCUUCGGGCCUCAUGCCAUCAGAUGUGCCCAGAUGGGAUUAGCUAGUAGGUGGGGUAACGGCUCACCUAGGCGACGAUCCCUAGCUGGUCUGAGAGGAUGACCAGCCACACUGAAACUGAGACACGGUCCAG
Molecule: ribosomal RNA, 222 nt
Filed under: uncultured bacterium
Lineage: Bacteria
Description: partial 16S ribosomal RNA
Rfam family: Bacterial small subunit ribosomal RNA
Source: RNAcentral